RNAcentral lists this transfer RNA (71 nucleotides) under Bos taurus (domestic cattle). It matches the Rfam family "tRNA". From Rfam's summary of the family: Transfer RNA (tRNA) molecules are approximately 80 nucleotides in length. Their secondary structure includes four short double-helical elements and three loops (D, anti-codon, and T loops). Further hydrogen bonds mediate the characteristic L-shaped molecular structure. tRNAs have two regions of fundamental functional importance: the anti-codon, which is responsible for specific mRNA codon recognition, and the 3' end, to which the tRNAs corresponding amino acid is attached (by aminoacyl-tRNA synthetases). tRNAs cope with the degeneracy of the genetic code in two manners: having more than one tRNA (with a specific anti-codon) for a particular amino acid; and 'wobble' base-pairing, i.e. permitting non-standard base-pairing at the 3rd anti-codon position. RNAcentral also lists the same sequence under 1 other name. The record is from Rfam by way of RNAcentral. Lineage: Eukaryota; Metazoa; Chordata; Mammalia; Artiodactyla; Bovidae.
UCCCACAGUCCAGUGGUUAGGACUCUGCACUUCCAGUGCAGGGGACACAGGUUCGAUGCCUGGUAGGGGAA